CCUAUGCAUCUACUUGUGUUAAAGAGAGUGUUGCAAGAAAUUAACUACUUACAGAAGAUAAAUCGACAAGAAAGGACAGAGGAGGACUUGACAAAAAUCGAGCAGGUGGGCAGACACUGAAAUUUUUCAGGAGACUGAGCUUGUGGGCAAGUCACUUGGAAGAAGUUCAAACGUCAUGUAUAUUACUGAUGUUGACAACUCUAACUGCAGGACACAGGAGAAGCAAUCCUAGCUGGGGUAGAGCUGGCAUUUUCAAGAGAUGUAAGCUGUCCAGCAAUGAAGAGUUCUGUGUGAAAAACCAGAGGAGGUACUGGUACAAGAGAACAUGAGGAAGGCAGAAAAGGAAAAUAUGUGUAUUUUAGCACUGUUUGCAGAGUUCAAGUCAUUGCUUGGGUAAACAAAAGCUCGUUGUAUGUUCAGUGGUUCACUCUUCCAAUAAUCUUGUUUUUUGGGUGUGGA
This 459-nucleotide long non-coding RNA is filed under the name Macaca fascicularis (crab-eating macaque). RNAcentral's name for it is "lncRNA (ENSMFAG00000061017.1)". Lineage: Eukaryota; Metazoa; Chordata; Mammalia; Primates; Cercopithecidae. The record is from RNAcentral.